RNAcentral lists this ribosomal RNA (869 nucleotides) under uncultured bacterium. RNAcentral's name for it is "bacterial SSU rRNA". It matches the Rfam family "Bacterial small subunit ribosomal RNA", at positions 1 to 896 of the family's 1533-position model. The record is from RNAcentral.
CCGCGGCAACCGGACGGAUAUUGCGGCGUGGUUAGGCAUGCAGUCGUGCGGCAGCAGGCCCCGCAGGGGUGCUGGCGAGCGGCGUAAGGGAGAGGAACACGCGGGUACCUGCCCUCAGGACCGGGAUAGCUGCGGGAAACUGCAAUUAAUACCGGAUGACGUCUCCGGACCAAAGGUGUAAUUCCGCCGGAGGAGGGGCCCACGUCCUAUCAGCUAGUUGGAGAGGUAACGGCUCACCAAGGCGAUGACGGGUACGGGGUGUGAGAGCAUGCCCCCGCUCACUGGGACUGAGACACUGCCCAGACACCUACGGGUGGCUGCAGUCGAGAAUCUUCCGCAAUGGGCGAAAGCCUGACGGAGCGACGCCGCGUGCGGGAUGAAGGCCUUCGGGUUGUAAACCGCUGUCAGUGGGGAGGAAAUGCACGGGGGUUCUCCCUCGUGUUUGACCGAUCCGCAGAGGAAGCACAGGCUAAGUUCGUGCCAGCAGCCGCGGUAACACGAACUGUGCAAACGUUAUUCGGAAUCACUGGGCUUAAAGAGUUCGUAGGCGGCGCGUUAAGUCGGGUGUGAAAGCCCUCGGCUCAACCGAGGAAUUGCAUCCGAAACUGGCGUGCUUGAGUGAGAUAGAGGUGGGCGGAACUGAUGGUGGAGCGGUGAAAUGCGUUGAUAUCAUCAGGAACACCGGUGGCGAAGGCGGCUCACUGGGUCUCAACUGACGCUGAGGAACGAAAGCUAGGGGAGCGAACGGGAUUAGAUACCCCGGUAGUCCUAGCCGUAAACGAUGAGCACUAGGUUGAGGGGACCUCACAUCCCCCGGCCGUAGCGAAAGUGUUAAGUGCUCCGCCUGGAGGAGUAUGGUCGCAAGGCUG